Molecule: transfer-messenger RNA, 365 nt
Filed under: Lacticaseibacillus sharpeae
Lineage: Bacteria; Bacillati; Bacillota; Bacilli; Lactobacillales; Lactobacillaceae
Also listed under: 1 other name
Description: Standard tmRNA
Rfam family: transfer-messenger RNA
About the family: Bacterial tmRNA, also known as 10Sa RNA or SsrA, is named for its dual tRNA and mRNA-like properties. Its role is to liberate the mRNA from a stalled ribosome.
Source: RNAcentral
GGGGAUGUAAUGGUCUCGACAUUGGUUUUCGCGCAUGUGGCGCACUCCGGAGGGCUCGGCUCCGUCAUCAACGGCACAGUUUAUUAACUGCAAAGAACAACAAUUCUUACGCUCUCGCUGCCUAGUAAGUAGCCUAGCGUGAUCUGUCCGGGUUCGUCCAAGGCUCGGAGCCAGGUCUCAAAUUAUUGGACUACGGUUAACGUUGCGACCCGAGGCGUUGACAAGAGAUAGUGGGUGCGCAUUUGGGGGUUAGCCAGGCUGACCGGCGCUCCCCAUUUGUUUAAUCCAAGUAGGUCAACUAUGAGUGUAGACCUGCGUGUGGGCGGGGCUGAUGGACAGGGGUUCGAUUCCCCUCAUCUCCAUUU